Long non-coding RNA from Malus domestica (apple), 532 nucleotides. RefSeq lists it as uncharacterized. NCBI's taxonomy places the organism in Eukaryota, Viridiplantae, Streptophyta, Magnoliopsida, Rosales, Rosaceae. The record is from RefSeq and is a predicted model, not a curated record.
CCUCAUUUCGAAUUCAACUCUGUCUCUCACUCUCUCUCGCCGUCCGUCUGUGAAUCGUCCCCUCCCCUCCACCACCCCGACAUCAGGACGGUCCUGGCGACCACCACGACAGCCCAGCAACUUCAACGGCAUCCCAGACUUACAGAACCCAGUCACCCCACCGCACCACCCAUCUUCUCGAUUUGUCACCUCUCUCAAUCAACCUUUGUGUCAAUUUUAUGUGAUUAGUGCCAGCAUUUUUUAAGGAUCUGAAUCUGGUACUCAGUCUCCGUCUCACAGAUUCAAUGAGGAUUGUUGUUGGAACUUGGGCGUUGGAUGUGGUUUUGAAUGUUAAUUUGAAAUUUAUUGCGGAUGUCAUGUUUAUGUUGUUUUGGAUUAUUUGAUUCUUGGAAUUUGGAUGCCUUGGACUUUCGAAUAUUUUGUAUGUUGAUUUGAUUUUUAGAUGUUGGACAAUGUAAUAUUGUUAUUUUGGAUGUAUUGUUAAUUUAUGAACUUGGAUGUUGGACUUUGUAUUUAGAUUGGAUGUGAAUAA